CGGCUCUACUCCACUACGAUAGCACCGGCUUGCCAAAAAAGGAGGAUAAACCCCGACCGCCCGACUCGCGGUGCGGCAGUGUGGAGACCUGCCGUAAGCUGACAGUCCGCUGUCAGGAGGUGCGCGCAUGCGGAGGCACGCGCAUCAGAGUCUGCUGCAUGGC
RNAcentral lists this non-coding RNA (163 nucleotides) under bovine gut metagenome. Its description in RNAcentral is "malK-I RNA". It matches the Rfam family "malK-I RNA". The record is from RNAcentral.